Manis pentadactyla (Chinese pangolin) is the source of this 886-nucleotide long non-coding RNA. RefSeq lists it as uncharacterized. The record is from RefSeq and is a predicted model, not a curated record. The transcript has 4 exons. NCBI's taxonomy places the organism in Eukaryota, Metazoa, Chordata, Mammalia, Pholidota, Manidae.
UCUUUUCCAGGAUCCAAUUCUAGGGUACCCUAUUGCAUUUAGUUAUCAUAUCUUCUUAGUCUCCUCUCAUCUGUGACAUUCAGUCUUUCUCUGUUUUUUAUGACAUUGACACUUUUGAAGAGUACUGAUCAGGUGUGUUGGGGCAUGACCCCAAGUUUGGGUUGCCUGGUGAUGCUUCCCUGUGUCAGAGAGGAGUUACGGGUUUUGGAGGAAGGAUGGCGCAGAGGUGGAGUGUCCUUCUCAUCGCAUCAUGUCACGGGUACCUGGGGCCAGUGCCACUUCUCACUGGUCACGUUGACCUUGGUUGCUUAGUUAAGGGGGUGUCUUCAGGUCUCUCCACUGUAGUUAUUUUAUUUCCCUUUAUAUGAUCUGCAUGUUAGAAGCUGGACACUGAGUCUGCACUCAAAUGGAGGGGAAUUCAACUACCACCUGGAGGAAGACUUGCUUUCUUUGGAUAUGCCGAUGAACAAAAGGGACAUUGUCCCUAACCUCAAAAUCUGGGAGAGAAAACAGACAGGUGAGGAAUGGAUAAAGAAGGGGAAACAUCGCAAGGAUGCUGUGUGAGCACCUGGCAGUUACUUGGAUCUUAGUUCUGGGGUUCAGCCCUAAUUUUCUUUCUUUGGAUGAAGAAGAUCCUCAGCAGCUAUCUUCAAAGAAUAUAUAUGCAUUUGACAUGUGGAAUACUUAAUGGUAUGAUGUUUGGGCACAAAUCAUGAACUAUAUCUGGUGAGUAUCCUGAGUCACUGGAGGAUUUGGUGUUUCAGGAAGAGGAAGAGGAAGAGGCUCUUCGUGCAUUUUCAGAAGGAAAGAUGAUUGACAAACAUCAUCUCAAUCACUGGACAAACUCCCCUCACUUUACUCCUUUGAGCAGUUAGCUCAAGGGGAA